AGAGAUGUGUGAUGACGCAUAUCAAUAAGCGGAGGAAAAGAAACUAACAAGGAUUCCCUUAGUAACGGCGAGUGAAGCGGGAAGAGCUCAAAUUUGAAAUCUUCAAGGUUCUACCUUGACGAAUUGUAGUUUAUAGAAGUGUUUUCUGUUAGUAGAGUGGCAAAAGUUCUUUGGAAUAGGACAUCAUAGAGGGUGAGAAUCCCGUAUUUGGUCAUUCUUUCUAGCUUUGUGAUACACUUUCAACGAGUCGGAUUGUUUGGGAAUGCAGUCCAAAAUGGGUGGUAAAUUUCAUCUAAAGCUAAAUAUUGGCGAGAGACCGAUAGCGAACAAGUACCGUGAGGGAAAGAUGAAAAGAACUUUGAAAGGAGAGUUAAACAGUACGUGAAAUUGUCAAAAGGGAAGCGUUUGACACCAGUGUUGUUUUUCCGAAAAUCAAUUACGAAUGUUUUGUUCUUGAGGAGUUAUGACUUCAUCGGCUUGCUUCUUUCUUUACGAAACUUUCUUAAUGCACUUUUCGGUUAACAAGUCAACAUCAAUUUCUUUUGUUGUAAAAGGGUAUGAGGAAGGUGGCUUUCUUUUCGGAGAAAGUGUUUAUAGCCUUGUACCUCUGCAAUCGGAGAGAUUGAGGUCUGCAGCGUAGAUCCUUCGGGGUUAGAUACAUUUGUGCUAAGUUAUAGCUUUUCAUAGACAACUUGUUGACUAUGUUUAGUCUUGUAGCUUACUCGCUUAUGCUAUUUUACCUACGCUUAGGAUGUUGAUCUGUAGUGCGUGCGC
RNAcentral lists this ribosomal RNA (774 nucleotides) under uncultured Neocallimastigales. Its description in RNAcentral is "partial large subunit ribosomal RNA". It matches the Rfam family "Eukaryotic large subunit ribosomal RNA", at positions 23 to 647 of the family's 3401-position model. The record is from RNAcentral. Lineage: Eukaryota; Fungi; Neocallimastigomycota; Neocallimastigomycetes; Neocallimastigales.